This is a long non-coding RNA of Numida meleagris (helmeted guineafowl), 707 nucleotides long. NCBI's taxonomy places the organism in Eukaryota, Metazoa, Chordata, Aves, Galliformes, Numididae. The record is from Ensembl.
UUCAUAUUUUGCAUAUAAGAAUCAAUGAAUUCCUGCCUUCAAAGUGAAAUUCAGUCACACUGAAUUUAAAUUGCAAAGACAUUUAGAAGUGCAAGCCAUUUUACUAUUUUUUGUUUAUGCGUUGACUCAGCAAUGUAUUUAAACCUUGUUAUAACUAAAAGUGGUUGCCUUCUUCCAUUGGAUGCCUACAGACUUAAAGGUAAAUGUGGUUUAAAUAUUAUUCUGACAUACAACCACUGAGUUGUGUCUAUGCACUUGAAAAGCAAAGAAUAAAUUGUUUUGAAGAUACAGAAAUCAUGUUACAUUGCUAUGCCUGCUAAUUUUAAAAUUUAUUUCUUAUUUAGAAAGAAUUACAUAAUAUCUGAUUCAGAGAAUGAGUCCUCCUGUGGGGAUAUGCAGCGUUUCUCCAUUUUAACCCUGUGUACAGAACGACCUGCAAGGACUCUGCAGGAUCUCCUCCAGCUCUUCUGUGUUCAACAGCUGAGCCAAUGACGUUGAGAAUUGAGGCCCAUUGCUUGCAGAAGGUAUUUAUCACUGAAUGAGCAUACAAAAAGCACUGAACUUGUAAGCAGACAAAACUGUUAGCAUUUCAAAAGCAACUGUUUUAAGCUGCUGUCUCUUUUCUUACUUUCAGCUGUGUUGGUCCACCAGCAUUGACCUGUUACAUAAAGGAUUUAUUAACUUUGGAGAAUGCAGACCUUAUGCAA